Molecule: non-coding RNA, 45 nt
Organism: Pterocles gutturalis (yellow-throated sandgrouse)
Lineage: Eukaryota; Metazoa; Chordata; Aves; Pterocliformes; Pteroclidae
Source: Rfam
UUUAAGGCUUUCUUCAAAGCCAUUAAAUUUCCAUUAAAUUUAGCC